UGCAAAGAAUACUUAUGCUGUCGCAUCAAGUCCAGUGAGAUAAACAUUGCAUUCAUCCCACUCGCCAUGGUUGCAUAAAGCAGGUUACACAGCCAAAAGUCUCGGCACUAAAAAGAGUACGUGCGAGACAGACCGGGACAUCUUAUUUACGCAAGCCGAGAGACGAGUUGUGGAAUACACCAAAACACCGCGGCGAGGUAUGUAUAUCUAUGGGUCGAUCAAACAGGUCAAACUGCAAAUUUCCAUGGAUCGAUUUUAUC
This is a long non-coding RNA of Wasmannia auropunctata (little fire ant), 260 nucleotides long. RefSeq lists it as uncharacterized. Lineage: Eukaryota; Metazoa; Arthropoda; Insecta; Hymenoptera; Formicidae. The transcript has 3 exons. The record is from RefSeq and is a predicted model, not a curated record.